AAGGAGGAUGCCGAAAAUCCAUGAAAAAGAGUAGGCA
RNAcentral lists this non-coding RNA (37 nucleotides) under unclassified sequences. Its description in RNAcentral is "DUF805b RNA". It matches the Rfam family "DUF805b RNA". Rfam says of the family: Bacteroidetes, Chlorobi (1 example), Proteobacteria. Lineage (Flavobacteria) The record is from RNAcentral.